UACGUAGGGUGCGAGCGUUAAUCGGAAUUACUGGGCGUAAAGCGUGCGCAGGCGGUUUGUUAAGACAGAUGUGAAAUCCCCGGGCUUAACCUGGGAACUGCAUUUGUGACUGGCAAGCUAGAGUAUGGCAGAGGGGGUAGAAUUCCACGUGUAGCAGUGAAAUGCGUAGAGAUGUGGAGGAAUACCGAUGGCGAAGGCAGCCCCUGGGCCAAUACUGACGCU
This 222-nucleotide ribosomal RNA is filed under the name uncultured bacterium. RNAcentral describes it as "partial 16S ribosomal RNA". It matches the Rfam family "Bacterial small subunit ribosomal RNA", at positions 524 to 747 of the family's 1533-position model. The record is from RNAcentral.